Molecule: ribosomal RNA, 253 nt
Filed under: uncultured bacterium
Lineage: Bacteria
Description: partial 16S ribosomal RNA
Rfam family: Bacterial small subunit ribosomal RNA
Source: RNAcentral
UACGGAGGGUGCAAGCGUUAUCCGGAUUCACUGGGUUUAAAGGGUGCGUAGGUGGAUUAGUAAGUCAGUGGUGAAAUCUCCGAGCUUAACUCGGAAACUGCCAUUGAUACUAUUAGUCUUGAAUUAUCUGGAGGUGAGCGGAAUAUGUCAUGUAGCGGUGAAAUGCUUAGAUAUGACAUAGAACACCAAUUGCGAAGGCAGCUCACUACGGAUAUAUUGACACUGAGGCACGAAAGCGUGGGGAGCAAACAGG